RNAcentral lists this ribosomal RNA (423 nucleotides) under uncultured bacterium. RNAcentral describes it as "bacterial SSU rRNA". It matches the Rfam family "Bacterial small subunit ribosomal RNA", at positions 207 to 622 of the family's 1533-position model. The record is from RNAcentral.
AAGACCUUGCACUUUUGGAGCGGCCGAUGUCUGAUUAGCUAGUUGGUGGGGUAAUGGCCUACCAAAGCUUCGAUCAGUAGCUGGUCUGAGAGGACGGCCAGCCACACUGGGACUGAGACACGGCCCAGACUCCUACGGGAGGCAGCAGUGGGGAAUUUUGGACAAUGGGCGCAAGCCUGAUCCAGCCAUGCCGCGUGAGUGAAGAAGGCCUUCGGGUUGUAAAGCUCUUUCAGCCGGGAAGAAAAGGUUGCGACUAAUAAUCGCAAUCCAUGACGGUACCGAAAGAAGAAGCACCGGCUAACUACGUGCCAGCAGCCGCGGUAAUACGUAGGGUGCGAGCGUUAAUCGGAAUUACUGGGCGUAAAGGGUGUGCAGGCGGUUUUGUAAGUCAGAUGUGAAAUCCCCGGGCUUAACCUGGGAACU